GAUCCCAUAGCUCAGCUGGAUAGAGCAACUGCCUUCUAAGCAGUAGGUCAGUGGUUCGAAUCCACUUGGGAUCA
This 74-nucleotide transfer RNA is filed under the name Cytophagales bacterium. It matches the Rfam family "tRNA". Rfam says of the family: Transfer RNA (tRNA) molecules are approximately 80 nucleotides in length. Their secondary structure includes four short double-helical elements and three loops (D, anti-codon, and T loops). The record is from Rfam by way of RNAcentral. Lineage: Bacteria; Pseudomonadati; Bacteroidota; Cytophagia; Cytophagales.